This 646-nucleotide ribosomal RNA is filed under the name Arthrobacter sp. RNAcentral describes it as "bacterial SSU rRNA". It matches the Rfam family "Bacterial small subunit ribosomal RNA", at positions 23 to 672 of the family's 1533-position model. The record is from RNAcentral. Lineage: Bacteria; Bacillati; Actinomycetota; Actinomycetes; Micrococcales; Micrococcaceae.
CUCAGGAUGAACGCGGGCGGCGUGCUUAACACCUGCAAGUCGAACGAUGAACCUCACUUGUGGGGGGAUUAGUGGCGAACGGGUGAGUAACACGUGAGUAACCUGCCCUUGACUCUGGGAUAAGCCUGGGAAACCGGGUCUAAUACUGGAUACGACCUUCUGGCGCAUGCCAUGUUGGUGGAAAGCUUUUGUGGUUUUGGAUGGACUCGCGGCCUAUCAGCUUGUUGGUGGGGUAAUGGCCUACCAAGGCGACGACGGGUAGCCGGCCUGAGAGGGUGACCGGCCACACUGGGACUGAGACACGGCCCAGACUCCUACGGGAGGCAGCAGUGGGGAAUAUUGCACAAUGGGCGCAAGCCUGAUGCAGCGACGCCGCGUGAGGGAUGAAGGCCUUCGGGUUGUAAACCUCUUUCAGUAGGGAAGAAGCCGGCCUUUUGGGUUGGUGACGGUACCUGCAGAAGAAGCGCCGGCUAACUACGUGCCAGCAGCCGCGGUAAUACGUAGGGCGCAAGCGUUAUCCGGAAUUAUUGGGCGUAAAGAGCUCGUAGGCGGUUUGUCGCGUCUGCCGUGAAAGUCCGGGGCUUAACUCCGGAUCUGCGGUGGGUACGGGCAGACUAGAGUGCAGUAGGGGAGACUGGAAUUCCUG